This 433-nucleotide long non-coding RNA is filed under the name Ursus maritimus (polar bear). RNAcentral's name for it is "lncRNA (ENSUMAG00000004479.1)". The record is from RNAcentral. Lineage: Eukaryota; Metazoa; Chordata; Mammalia; Carnivora; Ursidae.
AUUCGCUGCCGCUGCGACGGAUGACAGAUUUCUGCAGGGCUGGUGCAAAGAGUGGUGAAAGGGAGCGUGGGUGAGGCUGCGCCGGUGGUACUCCCCCUCGCCGGGCUUAGGGAGCAGGUGGAGCAGCUACCUUCUAGUGGGACUCCAAGAAACCAAUCUGUCUGUCUCUCCCGAUGGGGAAUGUCCUUGAUGCCUUGAAUUCUGCUGGGAAGGGCCCUUCCCGGACCUGCUGCCCUGACAAGCUCAGAGUGGAGCCCCUGGAGUUUUUCAAAGCUGUGGGCAUGACACCCGUUCUUCUGGUGUCCCUCUCCCCCCCAUCAAAGCUCCAUCUUGUUCAAAAAGAAACAAGCCCCCGUUGGAGUCGUUUGCACCCCACCGCAGCACACCAAGACUUCAUCACAAUGUCAACCUCUCCCAGGAAGGUGACCUUUUG